This 2937-nucleotide ribosomal RNA is filed under the name Pectobacterium polaris. RNAcentral describes it as "bacterial LSU rRNA". It matches the Rfam family "Bacterial large subunit ribosomal RNA". The record is from RNAcentral. Lineage: Bacteria; Pseudomonadati; Pseudomonadota; Gammaproteobacteria; Enterobacterales; Pectobacteriaceae.
GGGUUGUGAGGUUAAGCGACUAAGCGUACACGGUGGAUGCCUAGGCAGUCAGAGGCGAUGAAGGGCGUGCUAAUCUGCGAUAAGCGUCGGUAAGCUGAUAUGAAGCGUUAUACCCGACGAUACCCGAAUGGGGAAACCCAGUGUGUUUCGACACACUAUCAUGAUGUGAAUACAUAGCAUCAUGAGGCGAACCGGGGGAACUGAAACAUCUCAGUACCCCGAGGAAAAGAAAUCAACCGAGAUUCCCCUAGUAGCGGCGAGCGAACGGGGAGGAGCCCAGAACCUGAAUCAGUUUGUGUGUUAGUGGAAGCGUCUGGAAAGUCGCACAGUAAAGGGUGAUAGUCCCGUACACAAAAAUGCACAGGCUGUGAGUUCGAUGAGUAGGGCGGGACACGUGACAUCCUGUCUGAAUAUGGGGGGACCAUCCUCCAAGGCUAAAUACUCCUGACUGACCGAUAGUGAACCAGUACCGUGAGGGAAAGGCGAAAAGAACCCCGGCGAGGGGAGUGAAAUAGAACCUGAAACCGUGUACGUACAAGCAGUGGGAGCCUUGAUUAAUCAGGGUGACUGCGUACCUUUUGUAUAAUGGGUCAGCGACUUAUAUUCUGUAGCAAGGUUAACCGAAUAGGGGAGCCGCAGGGAAACCGAGUCUUAACUGGGCGUUAAGUUGCAGGGUAUAGACCCGAAACCCGGUGAUCUAGCCAUGGGCAGGUUGAAGGUUGGGUAACACUAACUGGAGGACCGAACCGACUAAUGUUGAAAAAUUAGCGGAUGACUUGUGGCUGGGGGUGAAAGGCCAAUCAAACCGGGAGAUAGCUGGUUCUCCCCGAAAGCUAUUUAGGUAGCGCCUCGUGAACUCAUCUUCGGGGGUAGAGCACUGUUUCGGCUAGGGGGUCAUCCCGACUUACCAACCCGAUGCAAACUACGAAUACCGAAGAAUGUUAUCACGGGAGACACACGGCGGGUGCUAACGUUCGUCGUGAAGAGGGAAACAACCCAGACCGCCAGCUAAGGUCCCAAAGUCAUGGUUAAGUGGGAAACGAUGUGGGAAGGCACAGACAGCCAGGAUGUUGGCUUAGAAGCAGCCAUCAUUUAAAGAAAGCGUAAUAGCUCACUGGUCGAGUCGGCCUGCGCGGAAGAUGUAACGGGGCUAAACCAUGCACCGAAGCUGCGGCAGCGACACUUAGGUGUUGUUGGGUAGGGGAGCGUUCUGUAAGCCGUAGAAGGUGGCCUGUGAGGGCUGCUGGAGGUAUCAGAAGUGCGAAUGCUGACAUAAGUAACGAUAAUGCGGGUGAAAAACCCGCACGCCGGAAGACCAAGGGUUCCUGUCCAACGUUAAUCGGGGCAGGGUGAGUCGACCCCUAAGGCGAGGCUGAAAAGCGUAGUCGAUGGGAAACAGGUUAAUAUUCCUGUACUCGGUGUUACUGCGAAGGGGGGACGGAGAAAGCUAGGUUAUCCGGGCGACGGUUGUCCCGGUUUAAGCGUGAAGGUGGAUGACUUUGGUAAAUCCGGGUCGUCAUUAACACUGAGGCGUGAUGACGAGUCACUACGGUGAUGAAGUAACCAAUGCUACGCUUCCAGGAAAAGCCUCUAAGCUCCAGGUAACAUCAAAUCGUACCCCAAACCGACACAGGUGGUCAGGUAGAGAAUACUCAGGCGCUUGAGAGAACUCGGGUGAAGGAACUAGGCAAAAUGGUGCCGUAACUUCGGGAGAAGGCACGCUGAUGGUAGGUGAAGUGACUUGCUCACGGAGCUGAAAUCAGUCGAAGAUACCAGCUGGCUGCAACUGUUUAAUAAAAACACAGCACUGUGCAAACACGAAAGUGGACGUAUACGGUGUGACGCCUGCCCGGUGCCGGAAGGUUAAUUGAUGGGGUCAGCCGCAAGGCGAAGCUCUUGAUCGAAGCCCCGGUAAACGGCGGCCGUAACUAUAACGGUCCUAAGGUAGCGAAAUUCCUUGUCGGGUAAGUUCCGACCUGCACGAAUGGCGUAAUGAUGGCCAGGCUGUCUCCACCCGAGACUCAGUGAAAUUGAACUCGCUGUGAAGAUGCAGUGUACCCGCGGCAAGACGGAAAGACCCCGUGAACCUUUACUAUAGCUUGACACUGAACCUUGAGCCUUGAUGUGUAGGAUAGGUGGGAGGCUUUGAAGCGAGGACGCCAGUUCUUGUGGAGCCAACCUUGAAAUACCACCCUUUAAUGUUUGAUGUUCUAACGUGGGCCCGUAAUCCGGGUUGCGGACAGUGUCUGGUGGGUAGUUUGACUGGGGCGGUCUCCUCCCAAAGCGUAACGGAGGAGCACGAAGGUUAGCUAAUCCUGGUCGGACAUCAGGAGGUUAGUGCAAAGGCAUAAGCUAGCUUGACUGCGAGAGUGACAGCUCGAGCAGGUGCGAAAGCAGGUCUUAGUGAUCCGGUGGUUCUGAAUGGAAGGGCCAUCGCUCAACGGAUAAAAGGUACUCCGGGGAUAACAGGCUGAUACCGCCCAAGAGUUCAUAUCGACGGCGGUGUUUGGCACCUCGAUGUCGGCUCAUCACAUCCUGGGGCUGAAGUAGGUCCCAAGGGUAUGGCUGUUCGCCAUUUAAAGUGGUACGCGAGCUGGGUUUAGAACGUCGUGAGACAGUUCGGUCCCUAUCUGCCGUGGGCGUUGGAAGAUUGAGAGGGGUUGCUCCUAGUACGAGAGGACCGGAGUGAACGCACCACUGGUGUUCGGGUUGUGAUGCCAAUUGCAUUGCCCGGUAGCUAAGUGCGGAAGAGAUAACCGCUGAAAGCAUCUAAGCGGGAAACUUGCCUCGAGAUGAGUCUUCCCUGGGCACUAGAUGCCCCUGAAGGGCCGUUGAAGACGACGACGUAGAUAGGCUGGGUGUGUAAGCGUAGCGAUACGUUGAGCUAACCAGUACUAAUGACCCGAGAGGCUUAACCUUACAACACCGAAGGUGUUU